UUCAACAAAUUAAAUCUUCAUGGCAAAUCAACCACCACCCUCUACUACUGCCAUCAUUGGCCCUCAAUACUGUGCUCCAGGUAUGAAUUUACCAUGUUUGUCAGACAUUUAAGUUGGUCAAGAGACAUGAGUUUAUCUUAAAAUUUAUCAUAUAAUGUAUUUCUAGUUAAGAGUUGUGUUAUAUUAUAAACUAGUAGGAUAGGGUAAAAAAAAAAUCGAUAUGAUAAGUAUCUAUAUUGUCUCUAUAUAGCUUAUUUUUAGCUAGUUCAGAAUUAUAUCAUGUGAAUCGUACAGAUUCUUAUUAUUAAAUCAAUCUCCAAAAGACGGAUUUCUAAUAGUGUUGACUAUAAAUAGAAUUUUUGUAAACAAGUAGAAUUAUUUCAUGGAAUAGUCCCCGUGACUUAAAUCGAGAUUGGUAGGGACAUCAUAUUUUAUAUGCAGGAAUCGGAGUUCGAAAUCUUUAGAUUUACCAAUUUAAAAAGAAAAAUAAAUAAAAAAAUCUCACGUUCAGAGAUAAUUCAGGAUUGAAGUAUUUUUUAAGAAUUAAAGAGUGGGAAAAGAAGCUUUCAACUCUAUAGUAAAUCACCCUAAAUUGAUUGAUACAAGACUUGUAUUUUCAUUGAAUAAAUCUUUGUUUGUCUAUAAAAUGCUUUACUGUUUUUAUAAAAUAAAUUAAAAAAUGAUUUAUUAAGUUGUACUAUUAUAUCCUAAUCCAAGUCAUGUCUAACAACAUGAAAGAAUGGUUCAAGUAUCUUUAAAUCUUAAUUCUAAGAUGCAUCAAUAUGUAUAUCUAUCAUUUUACUAUUUUUUUGUUUGUGAUUUCAGCUACACAUUCAAUUGAUUUGAUAGUCAUAAGGGAGAAAUUUAGCUACAACUUCACUGUUAAAGAUCUCAAUGACAAUGUUGUUUUCAUAGUUAAAAGUUCUCCUGAAGUAUUCUUAGCAACCCGUGAAGACCGAUUUUUAUACGAUGCUAACGGAAACCCCAUUCUCAAUCUACGUACAUCGGUUCGUUCAACAACUAUUCAAAAAUCACCCAAUUUUCUUGGUAAUGAGUACUCUUUCUGUGGAGUGAAAUGUACAAACAAAUAAUUCAAAAAGUCAAAUAUAUAUAUAUUUGUUCUAAAAUUUAGACCGAAUAUAUUUGAAUUUUUGAAUUAUUUUUGUUUAUAUUUCAUUUCAGAGAGAGACUAAAUGAUAGCGACUACUUUGUUUUUUGCAGCUACUCGCAGCUGAUGAUAAUUGGAAAGCAUAUAGAGGUGAAAGUAAAGAACCAAAGGAUCUUAUCUUUACUAGGAUGCCUUCUGAAUACAUGCAAAUAAGAACCAAAUUAAAUGUGUUUUUGGCAAAUAACAAUGAAGUUUGUGACUUCACUGUCAAAGCAGAUUUUUCUGGACAAUCAUGGAAGGUUCUCAUAGGCAGAUCCGACAAUGUUAUUGCUCAGGUUUAUACUACCUCCUAUUAAAAUUGUUGAUUUUUUAGAUUUAUUGAAUAAUUGAUAUAUCUUAUCUAUAUUAUAGACUCAAUACGUCAAUUAUUUAAUAAAUCUAAAAGAGAGUUGUUUAUUUUAUUUUUUUUAUAAAAAAACCGAAGUAAUAUUUAUUAUUGUUAGAAAAGAGAGUUAAAUUGAUUAUGUUAAAUUUGAUUUUGUUAAAUUUUGAAAAUGAAUCUUAAGCAAGGUGAUGUAAAUGGAUAAUAUUUUCAGAAAGAAAAUUUAGGGUGUAAAAAGUAAAGAGUGUGGUGCAAAAUGUACUCCUUAUAGAGAUAAUUGUUGCUUUUUUAAUCAGAAAAGUAAAUAUAUUACAAGAAACAUAUAUUAGGCCUAACUAAGCUAUCAGGUUUGAUAUAGUGGUGAAAGAUUUCAUAGUAUGGAUGCAUGAACUCCUAGAUUCGAUCCUCAUUGCUAUUGUAAAGCUAUGUCUAACCCUUUUUUUUUGUUAUAAUGGAAGUAGAGAUGAUCGAACCUAAUAUCUCAUGCAUACUACCCAAAUCUCUUACCACUAGACCGAACCUAAUAGAUUAACUAGCUAUGCCUAACCUUAUCGUCAGUAUAUGAAAUAUGAGUUUGAUUUUUUAUUAUUUUUGGUUUGAGAGUUUGAUUUUAUUUUUUUUACAAUUGAGUUUGAAAUUUUUUAAUCCAUCAAACAUGGCCUUUUUUAAAGUAGUUUAUAGUAAUUAAAGUUUCAUAUUUUAAAAUGAAUUAAUGGAUGUAUAUUAAAAUUUAAAUCUCAAUUUUUGUAUAUUACAUGAAAUAUUUCUAUCAACUAUAUCAUAUUUACAAAAACAAUAUUAUAUUAACUAGAUAACACAGAGAAUGGCCAUAGCAAUCCUAAUAACAUAUAUAGAAAAACUACAUCCUUCAUUUCUUAGAUCAAAAUAUUAUUUGAUCUAAAAUUGUUAUUGUUAUUACUGCAGAUAAAUAGGAAGCCUCGUGCUUUAUUCAGCAGGGAAAAGUUCAUGGUAACCGUGUGCCCCAACAUCGAUUAUGCAUUCAUUGUGGCUUUAACUGUGACCCUAACAAGUUCAACCAGAAAAAGCUCUAUUUUUUAAUUUUUUCUAUACUAGUUUUUUUUUUAUGUAUAUAUACUAGUAUGUUAUUAUGUUAUUAUUUUUUAAAACUUUAUAUGAUAUUGUAUAAUAUUUUUUUUUUCACUCAGCUCAAUAUAUUGACCCUUAAAAACACUUAAGUUUAUAUUGUUAAUUAUGUACUUUUUUUUUGUUCUUUAAAUGUAAGGAUAGUUAAUGUGUAAUACUUUUAAUAAAGUUAC
This 2767-nucleotide long non-coding RNA is filed under the name Trifolium pratense (red clover). RNAcentral's name for it is "long non-coding RNA (TPRA_LNC000346)". The record is from RNAcentral. Lineage: Eukaryota; Viridiplantae; Streptophyta; Magnoliopsida; Fabales; Fabaceae.